CCAGACUCCUACGGGAGGCAGCAGUGGGGGAUAUUGGACAAUGGGGGGAACCCUGAUCCAGCGACGCCGCGUGAGUGAAGAAGUAUUUCGGUAUGUAAAGCUCUGUCAGCAGGGAAGAAAGAAAUGACGGUACCUGACCAAGAAGCCCCGGCUAACUACGUGCCAGCAGCCGCGGUAAUACGUAGGGGGCAAGCGUUAUCCGGAAUUACUGGGUGUAAAGGGAGCGCAGGCGGUGCGGCAAGUCUGAUGUGAAAGCCCGGGGCUCAACCCCGGGACUGCAUUGGAAACUACCGAACUAGAGUGUCGGAGAGGUAAGUGGAAUUCCUAGUGUAGCGGUGAAAUGCGUAGAUAUUAGGAGGAACACCAGUGGCGAAGGCGGCUUACUGGACGAUAACUGACGCUGAGGCUCGAAAGCGUGGGGAGCAAACAGGAUUAGAUACCUCUGUAA
Molecule: ribosomal RNA, 448 nt
Filed under: uncultured bacterium
Lineage: Bacteria
Description: bacterial SSU rRNA
Rfam family: Bacterial small subunit ribosomal RNA
Source: RNAcentral